UACGUAGGGUGCAAGCGUUAAUCGGAAUUACUGGGCGUAAAGCGUGCGCAGGCGGUUAUGUAAGACAGUUGUGAAAUCCCCGGGCUCAACCUGGGAACUGCAUCUGUGACUGCAUAGCUAGAGUACGGUAGAGGGGGGAUGGAAAUUCCGCGUGUAGCAGUGAAAUGCGUAGAUAUGCGGAGGAACACCGAUGGCGAAGGCAAUCCCCCUGGACCUGUACUGACGCUCAUGCACGAAAGGCGUGGGGAGCAAACAGG
This 257-nucleotide ribosomal RNA is filed under the name uncultured bacterium. RNAcentral describes it as "partial 16S ribosomal RNA". It matches the Rfam family "Bacterial small subunit ribosomal RNA", at positions 524 to 776 of the family's 1533-position model. The record is from RNAcentral.